UACAGAGGUCCCAAGCGUUUGUUCGGAUUCACUGGGCGUAAAGGGUGCGUAGGUGGUUAGGUAAGUCCGAUGUGAAAUCUCCAGGCUCAACCUGGAAAUGGCAUUGGAUACUAUUUAGCUUGAGGAGUGGAGGGGGGACUGGAAUUCUCGGUGUAGCAGUGAAAUGCGUAGAUAUCGAGAGGAACACCAGUGGCGAAGGCGAGUCCCUGGACACUUCCUGACACUGAGGCACGAAAGCUAGGGGAGCAAACAGG
Molecule: ribosomal RNA, 254 nt
Filed under: uncultured bacterium
Lineage: Bacteria
Description: partial 16S ribosomal RNA
Rfam family: Bacterial small subunit ribosomal RNA
Source: RNAcentral